UACGUAGGGGGCAAGCGUUAUCCGGAUUUACUGGGUGUAAAGGGAGCGUAGACGGCAUGUCAAGUCUGAUGUGAAAGGCUGGGGCUUAACCCCGGGACUGCAUUGGAAACUGGCAGGCUGGAGUGCCGGAGGGGUAAGCGGAAUUCCUAGUGUAGCGGUGAAAUGCGUAGAUAUUAGGAGGAACACCAGUGGCGAAGGCGGCUUACUGGACGUGCACUGACGUUAAGGCUCGAAAGCGUGGGGAGCAAAC
Molecule: ribosomal RNA, 250 nt
Filed under: uncultured prokaryote
Description: partial 16S ribosomal RNA
Rfam family: Bacterial small subunit ribosomal RNA
Source: RNAcentral